GCCUAUGGCCAUGCUGCCACGAACACACCCGAUCUCAUCUGAUCUCAGAAGCUAAGCAGGGUCAGGCCUGGUUAGUACUUGGAUGGGAGACCACCUUGGAAUACCAGGUGAUGUAGGCG
RNAcentral lists this ribosomal RNA (119 nucleotides) under Pteropus alecto (black flying fox). RNAcentral also lists the same sequence under 1 other name. The record is from RNAcentral. Lineage: Eukaryota; Metazoa; Chordata; Mammalia; Chiroptera; Pteropodidae.